This 2247-nucleotide ribosomal RNA is filed under the name Magnetococcales bacterium. RNAcentral's name for it is "partial 23S ribosomal RNA". It matches the Rfam family "Bacterial large subunit ribosomal RNA", at positions 222 to 2512 of the family's 2925-position model. The record is from RNAcentral. Lineage: Bacteria; Pseudomonadati; Pseudomonadota; Magnetococcia; Magnetococcales.
AAAUCAACCGAGAUCCCCUUAGUAGCGGCGAGCGAACGGGGGCUAGCCCUUAAGCUAGUCAAGAGUUAGUGGAAUCAUCUGGAAAGUUGAGCGAUACAGGGUGAUAGCCCCGUACACGAAAAAUCUUGAUUAGUGAAAACGAGUAGGACGGGACACGAGACAUCCUGUUUGAAUAUGGGGGGACCAUCCUCCAAGGCUAAAUACUCCUGACUGACCGAUAGUGAACCAGUACCGUGAGGGAAAGGCGAAAAGAACCCCUGUUAGGGGAGUGAAAUAGAACCUGAAACCGUGUACGUACAAGCAGUGGGAGCCCACUUGUUGGGUGACUGCGUACCUUUUGUAUAAUGGGUCAGCGACUUACAUUCUGUAGCGAGGUUAACCGAAUAGGGGAGCCGUAGGGAAACCGAGUCUUAACUGGGCGAAUAGUUGCAGGGUGUAGACCCGAAACCGGGCGAUCUACCCAUGAGCAGGUUGAAGGUUGGGUAACACUAACUGGAGGACCGAACCCACUAAUGUUGAAAAAUUAGGGGAUGACUUGUGGGUCGGAGUGAAAGGCUAAUCAAGCUCGGAGAUAUCUGGUUCUCCUCGAAAGCUAUUUAGGUAGCGCCUCGAGCGAAUACCAUUGGGGGUAGAGCACUGUUAAGGCUAGGGGGUCAUCCCGACUUACCAACCCUUUGCAAACUCCGAAUACCAAUGAGUACUACUCGGGAGACACACGACGGGUGCUAACGUCCGCCGUGAAAAGGGAAACAACCCAGACCACCAGCUAAGGUCCCAAAGUCAUGGUUAAGUGGAAAACGAUGUGGGAAGGCAUAGACAGCUAGGAGGUUGGCUUAGAAGCAGCCACCCUUUAAAGAAAGCGUAAUAGCUCACUAGUCGAGUCGGCCUGCGCGGAAGAUGUAACGGGGCUAAACCAUGCACCGAAGCUGUGGACUUGUGCUAAGCACAAGUGGUAGAGGAGCGUUCUGUAAGCCUGCGAAGGCAUCUCGUGAGGGGUGCUGGAGGUAUCAGAAGUGCGAAUGCUGACAUAAGUAACGAUAAGGGGAGUGAAAAACUUCCCCGCCGGAAGACCAAGGGUUCCUAUCCCAUGCUAAUCAGGGUAGGGUAAGUCGGCCCCUAAGGCGAGGGCGAAAGCCGUAGUCGAUGGGAAACGGGUUAAUAUUCCCGUACCGACAGUACUGCGAUGGGGGGACGGAGAAAGCUAGGCAAGCAUGGCGUUGGUUGUCCAUGUGAAAGUACGUAGGCAGGGGGAUUAGGCAAAUCCGGUUCCCUAAUGCUGAGAUACGAGACGAGCCACUACGGUGGUGAAGUUGCUGAUGCUAAGCUUCCAGGAAAAGCCUCUAAGCUUCAGGUACUUGUCGACCGUACUCGAAACCGACACAGGUGGUCAGGUAGAGAAUACCAAGGCGCUUGAGAGAACUCUGGUGAAGGAACUAGGCAAAAUAGUACCGUAACUUCGGGAGAAGGUACGCUCUUACGUGUGAAGGACUUGCUCCGUAAGCAUGUGAGAGUCGCAGUGACCAGCUGGCUGCAACUGUUUAUUAAAAACACAGCACUCUGCAAACUCGAGAGAGGACGUAUAGGGUGUGACACCUGCCCGGUGCCGGAAGGUUAAUUGAUGGGGUUAGCGCAAGCGAAGCUCUUGAUCGAAGCCCCGGUAAACGGCGGCCGUAACUAUAACGGUCCUAAGGUAGCGAAAUUCCUUGUCGGGUAAGUUCCGACCUGCACGAAUGGUGUAAUGAUGGCCAGGCUGUCUCCACCAGAGACUCAGUGAAAUUGAAAUUGCGGUGAAGAUGCCGUAUACCCGCGGCUAGACGGAAAGACCCCGUGAACCUUUACUAUAGCUUGGCACUGAACAUUGACCCUGUAUGUGUAGGAUAGGUGGGAGGCUUUGAAGUGGGAACGCCAGUUCUCAUGGAGCCGUCCUUGAAAUACCACCCUUGCAUGUUUGAUGUUCUAACGUGGGCCCCUAAUCGGGGUUGCGGACAGUGUCUGGUGGGUAGUUUGACUGGGGCGGUCUCCUCCUAAAGAGUAACGGAGGAGCACGAAGGUUGGCUAAGUACGGUCGGACAUCGUACGGUUAGUGCAAAGGCAGAAGCCAGCUUAACUGCGAGACAGACACGUCGAGCAGGUACGAAAGUAGGUCAUAGUGAUCCGGUGGUUCUGUAUGGAAGGGCCAUCGCUCAACGGAUAAAAGGUACUCUGGGGAUAACAGGCUGAUACCGCCCAAGAGUUCAUAUCGACGGC